CACAUGCAAGUCGAACGGAAACGACAAGAAGCAAGCCGAGAAAGCACUUCGGUGUGAGUAGAGCGGCGGACGGGUGAGUAACGCGUAGGAAUCUGCCUAACAGUGGGGGACAACAUGUGGAAACGCAUGCUAAUACCGCAUACGCCCUACGGGGGAAAGCAGGGGAUCUUCGGACCUUGCGCUAUUGGAGAAGCCUGCGUCGGAUUAGCUAGUUGGUGGGGUAAAGGCCCACCAAGGCGACGAUCCGUAGCUGGUCUGAGAGGAUGAUCAGCCACACUGGGACUGAGACACGGCCCAGACUCCUACGGGAGGCAGCAGUGGGGAAUAUUGGACAAUGGGGGCAACCCUGAUCCAGCCAUGCCGCGUGUGUGAAGAAGGCCUUAGGGUUGUAAAGCACUUUCAGUAGGGACGAAAUGUUUAAGGUUAAUACGCUGCAGCUGUGACGUUACUCGCAGAAGAAGGACCGGCUAACUCCGUGCCAGCAGCCGCGGUAAUACGGAGGGUCCGAGCGUUAAUCGGAAUUACUGGGCGUAAAGCGCGCGUAGGCGGUUAAAUCAGUCAGAUGUGAAAGCCCUGGGCUCAACCUGGGAACUGCAUCUGAUACUGUUUAACUAGAGUUUGGUAGAGGAGUGUGGAAUUUCCUGUGUAGCGGUGAAAUGCGUAGAUAUAGGAAGGAACACCAGUGGCGAAGGCGACACUCUGGACCAAAACUGACGCUGAGGUGCGAAAGCGUGGGGAGCAAACAGGAUUAGAUACCCUGGUAGUCCACGCCGUAAACGAUGUCUACUAGCCGUUGGGAGACUUGAUCUCUUAGUGGCGCAGCUAACGCAAUAAGUAGACCGCCUGGGGAGUACGGUCGCAAGAUUAAAACUCAAAUGAAUUGACGGGGGCCCGCACAAGCGGUGGAGCAUGUGGUAAGUCGAUGCAACGCGAAGAACCUUACCUGCCCUUGACAUCCUCGGAACUGUCAGAGAUGACUUGAUGCUUCGGGACGAGUGACAGUGCUGCAUGCUGUCGUCAGCUCGUGUCGUGAGAUCGUCGGUAGUCCGUACGAGCGCAACCCUUGUUCUUAGUGCAGCCAUCAUGGUGGGACUCUAGGGAGACUGCGUGACAAUCGGAGAAAGGUGGGAUGAACUCAGUCAUCAUGGCCCUAAUGGGCAGGGACUACCACCCGGCUUACAUGGGCGUACAAAGGUGCAAACUCGCGGGGGGGGGGACCAAAUUCUCCAAAAACCCGCCUCCUGUAUCCCGCAAG
RNAcentral lists this ribosomal RNA (1255 nucleotides) under uncultured prokaryote. RNAcentral's name for it is "partial 16S ribosomal RNA". It matches the Rfam family "Bacterial small subunit ribosomal RNA", at positions 52 to 1311 of the family's 1533-position model. The record is from RNAcentral.